RNAcentral lists this ribosomal RNA (1313 nucleotides) under Bacillus sp. (in: firmicutes). RNAcentral describes it as "bacterial SSU rRNA". It matches the Rfam family "Bacterial small subunit ribosomal RNA", at positions 56 to 1353 of the family's 1533-position model. Lineage: Bacteria; Bacillati; Bacillota; Bacilli; Caryophanales; Bacillaceae. The record is from RNAcentral.
UGCAGUCGAGCGGACAGAUGGGAGCUUGCUCCCUGAUGUUAGCGGCGGACGGGUGAGUAACACGUGGGUAACCUGCCUGUAAGACUGGGAUAACUCCGGGAAACCGGGGCUAAUACCGGAUGCUUGUUUGAACCGCAUGGUUCAAACAUAAAAGGUGGCUUCGGCUACCACUUACAGAUGGACCCGCGGCGCAUUAGCUAGUUGGUGAGGUAACGGCUCACCAAGGCAACGAUGCGUAGCCGACCUGAGAGGGUGAUCGGCCACACUGGGACUGAGACACGGCCCAGACUCCUACGGGAGGCAGCAGUAGGGAAUCUUCCGCAAUGGACGAAAGUCUGACGGAGCAACGCCGCGUGAGUGAUGAAGGUUUUCGGAUCGUAAAGCUCUGUUGUUAGGGAAGAACAAGUACCGUUCGAAUAGGGCGGUACCUUGACGGUACCUAACCAGAAAGCCACGGCUAACUACGUGCCAGCAGCCGCGGUAAUACGUAGGUGGCAAGCGUUGUCCGGAAUUAUUGGGCGUAAAGGGCUCGCAGGCGGUUCCUUAAGUCUGAUGUGAAAGCCCCCGGCUCAACCGGGGAGGGUCAUUGGAAACUGGGGAACUUGAGUGCAGAAGAGGAGAGUGGAAUUCCACGUGUAGCGGUGAAAUGCGUAGAGAUGUGGAGGAACACCAGUGGCGAAGGCGACUCUCUGGUCUGUAACUGACGCUGAGGAGCGAAAGCGUGGGGAGCGAACAGGAUUAGAUACCCUGGUAGUCCACGCCGUAAACGAUGAGUGCUAAGUGUUAGGGGGUUUCCGCCCCUUAGUGCUGCAGCUAACGCAUUAAGCACUCCGCCUGGGGAGUACGGUCGCAAGACUGAAACUCAAAGGAAUUGACGGGGGCCCGCACAAGCGGUGGAGCAUGUGGUUUAAUUCGAAGCAACGCGAAGAACCUUACCAGGUCUUGACAUCCUCUGACAAUCCUAGAGAUAGGACGUCCCCUUCGGGGGCAGAGUGACAGGUGGUGCAUGGUUGUCGUCAGCUCGUGUCGUGAGAUGUUGGGUUAAGUCCCGCAACGAGCGCAACCCUUGAUCUUAGUUGCCAGCAUUCAGUUGGGCACUCUAAGGUGACUGCCGGUGACAAACCGGAGGAAGGUGGGGAUGACGUCAAAUCAUCAUGCCCCUUAUGACCUGGGCUACACACGUGCUACAAUGGACAGAACAAAGGGCAGCGAAACCGCGAGGUUAAGCCAAUCCCACAAAUCUGUUCUCAGUUCGGAUCGCAGUCUGCAACUCGACUGCGUGAAGCNGGAAUCGCUAGUAAUCGNNGAUCAGC